AUUGAACGCUGGCGGCAGGCCUAACACAUGCAAGUCGAACGAGUGGCGGACGGGUGAGUAAUGUCUGGGUAACUCCCUUAUGGAGGGGGAUAACUCCUGGAAACGGUAGCUAAUACCUCAUACCAUCAGAUGUGCCCAGAUGGGAUUAGCUAGUUGGUGGGGUAACGGGUCACCAAGGCCACGAUCCCUAGCUGGUCUGAGAGGAUGACCAGACACACUGGAACUAGAACACGGUCCAGACUGCAACGGAGGGCGGCGGUGGGGAAUAUGGAACAAUGGGGACAGACCGAAUGCAGCAAUGCCGGGUGUAUAAGGAAGGCCUUCGGGUUGAAAAGAACUUUCAGCGGGGAGGCGUUACCCGCAGAAGAAGCACAGGCAAACUCCGUGCCAGCAGCCGCGGUAAUAC
Molecule: ribosomal RNA, 406 nt
Filed under: uncultured bacterium
Lineage: Bacteria
Description: partial 16S ribosomal RNA
Rfam family: Bacterial small subunit ribosomal RNA
Source: RNAcentral